AGUACUGAACAAAUAGAACAACUUUUCAUGAAAAUAGACUAUGAAGCAGUGGGCAGAAUUCAUUGGGUAAGUUGGGUUGUUUUUGGAAUCAAACUUGCAAUGAGGAAACUGUAUAAAAUGUUUGGUUCAACAGAUUGAGCCUCUGGAGUACCCUGUGCCCCUCAGUACCUUUGCCAACUUGAAGCUGAACCAAGAGGACAUGCGUGUUCACCGUUUCCGAGUUCUCGUGAGAUCAAGUUAUACUUGGCAUAGUUAAACUAGAAAUUUCAGUAUCUGAGGCAAGUCCCUAGAAGGCUUUCGUAAAACCAGGGAAUGAAGAACACAUCCACUGCCUUAGCCAAAAGCAAAAGUGAAACACUGUGAGCAAGAAAUCCUGUGAACAAGCGAAACCAUAUGAUAAUCAGGUCAUUGACAAAGCAAGUGUUUAGAACAGUGACGGCCAGAGUCAUUUCUCUGCAAAUAUUAUUAUCAGCAUCAUUAUUAAUGUUGCCCAGUUUGGGUUGGAUGAUAAUGAGGGGCUGACACAUCUGCUUUUAAAAUUCUCUGCCAUCGUAUGUCAGUAUCCUUCUGUUGUGUGAGGAUGAGUUAAGUUCUAAAAUGACGAGUUGAGCAGCAUUCACCUCUCAUCAGACCUUGAGCCAGCUCCCCAACCAAAUCAAAUACAUGGGUCUUCACUGUCAUCUGAUUUGAAAAGGGACAGUCAGGAUUUCCAGGAUGGCUUCUGCACAUAUCUGCAGUUAGCAUAUUCAGAGCAAGCUGAUGCUUUGGCUCGACAGAAAGAGGUUUCCUUCCAGCUGCCUGCUGUGCUGCAGGGACUGUCGUACGGGGGACCCGUGCUGCGCAUUCUCUCUGUGCCUGAUGACACCUUAAUCAUGAUCAGAGAAGAUGGAGCCAUUUAUUUCUGGUCCCUGCAGCUGAAGUUGAAAAGAAGAAAGCGAGUUUUUGACAAGCCCAUCAUUCGGAAGCGCCGGUGGGUGACGGAUGCCACCAGCAUGCCACAGUACAACAAACUGAUCCUAGGAACUGGAAACCGCGAAAUCCAGCUGUAUGAGUUCUCUAACUUGGAGCCUUACUGUCAGAUUGGUGGCCUGGAAGCUGUCCCUCUGAAACUGGACUACUGGUACGAGGAUCCUGACAAGUGCCUGAUUCUCUAUGGUGAUGACCAGGGAUGUGUGAACAUUCUGUUUUUGGCUUCUGUCGGUGAACUAUUAAGGGGACGUCACACCCCAGGUCCCUCUCAUGGGGGAGGUCACACUCCAGAUCCCUUUCAGAGGAAGUCACAUACCACACCUCCCAUCCUCAGGGAAGAAGUCACUCCAGGUCAAGUGUGCUGUUACUCUUGGUGGCUGAGGGUCCCCAGGAGGCAGCCGUCUCAGUCCUAUCACAGUGACACUCUGGAGCCAGAAGCAUGGAGAACUUGGAAGAAGCUGCCCAAAGUUGAGAACAUGCCAAACAUUAGCAUUAAUAAUGCUGUGAAUUCUCCAAAUGUGAAUUACAUCCGCUGGAAAGUGCACGGAGACUGGGUUACUCAGCUGAACUACUACGAUUCUAUCAACGCCGUUAUCUCAAGCUCCAAUCAUGAGCCCACUGCUCUAGUCAUAGGAAUCUUACAGCAGCCCUGUCCACCUCUGAUUCGCAGCCUUCAAACCACAUUGUCUUUCAAGGAAAGCUUCCUUGGUAAAUUUCUGAUUCACUGACAUUGAAAUCACUGAAGUGUUGGAAAGAGAUGUGCUCUGGGUAAGAAGUCGCUUGGGAAUUUUCAUUAGACUUUCUUGGAACUAAGAAGUGGUCGUUUUCUAGAACCGUGAUGGAUAUGAAUCUUAAGAAACUGAAAGCCAGCCUCCAGAAGCAGCUCAAAACUCAGUGUUUGUUAUGACAGAACAAAAAUCAGCGAGCCCAGAAGAAGGAUCUCCAGGCUCUAGCCCUGGCUCUGCUGCUCAUAGAGCUGUGACCUCAGGCCUCAGCCCCCUCUCCAGUUCAGUGAGGAAGUUGGACAUGAGCCCAAAGUCACAGAUCUUCCUUUUGCUCUAAGCCCCUGUCCCUCCCUUCCUUCACCUCACAUCAUGGGAAGCAGAGGCCGCUACAGCUCUGAACCCCUGUUAGUGUGUCUAGAAACCUAGAUAGCUCAACUAUAGAAUUCCUCCACCCCGGCCCCUCGCAACAUCGUUGAAGUUUCUGUUUCUCUCCGGAAGGAGAAUGGGGAGGAGCCCUUAGAGCAGAACUCCUGGAAAGACUUGCCCUUUCUUACGCCUGUCCUCCAAGUUGGUCUAAGACCCACUCCAACCCAGCUGUGUCCCUCCACGCCAUUAAAGUCACUCUUGUAAGGGCCACCAGUGCCCCUCCUGCUGCUGAAAUCAGUGACCGGUCCUCGUCCCACUUGCCCUCUCAACACGAGCCGCAGGUCCCUUGGCUUCCUCCCUGCAGUCCUCUCACUUGGCGUGAGGACUCCACCUCUCAUGGUUUCCCGUCCUUCCUGCCUGUAGCCCCUUCUCGUUCUCCCUUACUGGUCGUCUGCAUCGCCAUGACUCGUGUCUAUGACGCAGUGACGGAGCCCCCAGCAUUCAGUCUUUGGUCCUCUUCUCUUCCACAUCUGCACCCCCGCGAUGAGCGCUCCGCUACCACUGCUGUCAAUUCCCAAAAGUACAUCUCUGGCCCAGCCCCCUCCCUGAACUUCUCUCUGGUAUUUCCAGCUGCCUUGGAUCUAUCUCCCAAGGGCACCUCCACUUGGGUAGCUCAUGAGCAUCGAAAUUAAACCCAAACCUGAAUCCAGAUCUUCUUCCUCCCACCGUCUUCCCCAUCUCAUUUGGCUCGAAGUCCAUUCUUCCAGUUGCUCUGGCCAAAGUCUGAUGGUCACCCUUGACUCCUCUCUCACAACCCAUCUAACUUGCUGGCCCUACCUUCAUAACACACCCAGACUCUGGCUGCUGCUCCCCAGCCCCACUGCUACCCUCUAGUGAGAAUCACCACCCUCUCUUCCCUGGGUUCCUGAAACAGCCUCGCUCCUCUCCCUGCCUCCAUCCUGCCCUGUCGUCUCUUCUCCAUGAAGCAGCCAGAGAUACCCUGUAAAACGAGAAGUCAGACCUGUCCAAAUCCUCCAGUGGGCCCCCAUCUCAGUAAAAGUCGGAGUCCUUGGGGGACCUGUGUGUCACCCCAACCCUUGCGUCUCUGGCUUGGUCUCCUCCUUCCCUCCUUCCCUCACUCAGUCACACUGGCUCCUUCAGUAUAUUUAGAAUGUUUUCACUGCUUCUUCCUUGUGCCUGGAAAGUUCUCCCUAAAAAUGUCUGCAUUGCUCACUCCCUCAGCCUCUUGAAGUCUUUGCUCAAAUGUCACUUCUCAGUGAGGCCUCCUUGUCUGCUCUGUUCUAUAUGGCAACAGCCCAGCUCCUGGCUCUGGCAUUCCCUAUCCUUCCUACAUUGAUCUGCCCUUAUUUUGUUUUGUUUUGUUUUGUUUUGUUUGAUUAGGGGCACACCUGCAGC
This 3476-nucleotide long non-coding RNA is filed under the name Sus scrofa (pig). RNAcentral's name for it is "lncRNA (ENSSSCG00045036540.1)". Lineage: Eukaryota; Metazoa; Chordata; Mammalia; Artiodactyla; Suidae. The record is from RNAcentral.